GGAGGAACACAGGAUCUGUGACAGCGGAAAGCCAGAGGGCUGCAGGCACGGGGCAGAGGGGAGGGGAACCACCACUUCCCCCAGUUGUCACAGCAGGGAGACAUCCUCCAAGGGCUGCACUGAAGAUACUUGCGCAAGGAAGAAUUCAGCGUUUAUGGAUAUGCCCCUUGGAGGACUGAGGCCAUCAGAAGAAGUUUGUCCUGCCAGGGCAGCCACUGGUCUCCGCAUGGAGUGAGUGCUGGACAUCCAUCUUGCACAGGCACUGCUCACGUGCAGGACAGAUGGAUGGAUGGAU
This 295-nucleotide long non-coding RNA is filed under the name Gallus gallus (chicken). Its description in RNAcentral is "lncRNA (ENSGALG00010006376.1)". The record is from RNAcentral. Lineage: Eukaryota; Metazoa; Chordata; Aves; Galliformes; Phasianidae.